This is a long non-coding RNA of Fundulus heteroclitus (mummichog), 904 nucleotides long. RefSeq lists it as uncharacterized. NCBI's taxonomy places the organism in Eukaryota, Metazoa, Chordata, Actinopteri, Cyprinodontiformes, Fundulidae. The transcript is spliced from 2 exons. The record is from RefSeq and is a predicted model, not a curated record.
UUUUGGGGUAAUCCAGUUAUCUCUAAUAGUUAAGGUUAUGUCUCCCUUUCAAUUUUUCAUCCUGUUCACCAAUUUUGUACUAAGUGUGAAAUCCCGUGAGAUUUUGUGGGAUUUUAGUUUUAAAAAGUGGGGCGGUGCCCAUUGUUUGGUCAUGAACAAGGAAAUUGUUUGGUCAUGAACAAGGAAGUUGUUUGGUCUCAUGAACAAGGAAGUUCAGGGCUGGCUGUUGCAGUUUCUAGAUGCCUGUACUCUACACUGAAUGGGUAUUCUUAUGGCUUAGAAAUGGGAAGCAAUGAACUGGUGAGUGUUUGUCUUAUUGUUUGGAGCAUGCUAAUGCAAACAUUAGCAUGCUGAACUAAAGCUAAUCCUAUCUUUUGUUGUUGACCUGGUACCAUUGAGGUGAUAUUGUUCAGUAUUUGAAAGAUGUUUGUAUAUUGUCUGAUGGUGCACUAUUUAAUGUUUUAGAAUCAGAUAUUAAUGCCGAAGAGUACUCUAUUUGAAUCAUGUACAUGUAGAUUUUUUCCUAUUGAUUCCAAUUACUUUAAAAAGGAAAUGUUUGGAAUAUUAAUGACUUAAUAUUUACUAUUAAGAGGAAAUGAACUUAUUGUUGGACCUUUCUAUACAGGCCAGGUCCUCAUUUGAUGGCGAGCUACCCACUAGGCCUUUAGGCCAAGGAACCUGGAUAGACUGCUAAAUCUCUAUCUGUGUGAUAGGAGACAUUGUUGCCUGCCCCACCCCAUCCAAGGGACUCAAGUCAACGUUUAAAUCGACUAAGACUAGUACUUUGGACUUUUGGAAUGUUACAACUUGGAAUGUUACGGCGUGUGCAGGAUUUUGGUUUUGACAAAGUUUGUCUGUAUAUAUUGUAAAUAGUCUUCGUAGUAUAAAUCACUUUCUGCACAAA